Molecule: ribosomal RNA, 443 nt
Filed under: uncultured bacterium
Lineage: Bacteria
Description: partial 16S ribosomal RNA
Rfam family: Bacterial small subunit ribosomal RNA
Source: RNAcentral
CCUACGGGUGGCAGCAGUGGGGAAUAUUGGGCAAUGGGCGCAAGCCUGACCCAGCAACGCCGCGUGAAGGAAGAAGGCUUUCGGGUUGUAAACUUCUUUUAUCAGGGACGAAGCAAGUGACGGUACCUGAUGAAUAAGCCACGGCUAACUACGUGCCAGCAGCCGCGGCAAUACGUAGGUGGCAAGCGUUAUCCGGAUUUACUGGGUGUAAAGGGAGUGUAGGCGGGAGUGCAAGUCAGAUGUGAAAACUAUGGGCUCAACCCAUAGCCUGCAUUUGAAACUGUACUUCUUGAGUGCUGGGGAGGCAAUCGGAAUUCCGUGUGUAGCGGUGAAAUGCGUAGAUAUACGGAGGAACACCAGUGGCGAAGGCGGAUUGCUGGACAGUAACUGACGCUGAGGCGCGAAAGCGUGGGGAGCAAACAGGAUUAGAUACCCCAGUAGUC